AUUGAACGCUGGCGGCAUGCCUUACACAUGCAAGUCGAACGGCAGCACGGGAGCAAUCCUGGUGGCGAGUGGCGAACGGGUGAGUAAUAUAUCGGAACGUGCCCAGUCGUGGGGGAUAACGUAGCGAAAGCUACGCUAAUACCGCAUACGAUCUAUGGAUGAAAGCGGGGGAUCGCAAGACCUCGCGCGAUUGGAGCGGCCGAUAUCAGAUUAGGUAGUUGGUGAGGUAAAGGCUCACCAAGCCGACGAUCUGUAGCUGGUCUGAGAGGACGACCAGCCACACUGGGACUGAGACACGGUCCAGACUCUUACGGGAGGCAGCAGUGGGGAAUUUUUGGACAAUGGACGCAAGUCUGAUCCAGCCAUUCCGCGUGCAGGAUGAAGGCCCUCGGGUUGUAAACUGCUUUUGUACGGAACGAACGGUGAGCUCUAAUACAGUUUGCUAAUGACGGUACCGUAAGAAUAAGACACCGGACUAACUACGU
Molecule: ribosomal RNA, 485 nt
Filed under: uncultured bacterium
Lineage: Bacteria
Description: bacterial SSU rRNA
Rfam family: Bacterial small subunit ribosomal RNA
Source: RNAcentral